CCCUUAGAUGUUCUGGGCCGCACGCGCGCUACACUGAUGCAUUCAACGAGCCUAUCCUUGACCGACAGGUCCGGGUAAUCUUUGAAUCUGCAUCGUGACGGGGAUAGAUUAUUGCAAUUAUUAAUCUUCAACGAGGAAUGCCUAGUAGGCGCAAGUCAUCAGCUUGCGUCGAUUACGUCCCUGCCCUUUGUACACACCGCCCGUCGCUCCUACCGAUUGGGUGUGCUGGUGAAAUGUUCGGAUCGGCCGUUUGUCGCGGUAUCCGCGUCAUGUGGCUGAGAAGUUCAUUAAACCCUCCCACCUAGAGGAAGGAGAAGUCGUAACA
RNAcentral lists this ribosomal RNA (325 nucleotides) under uncultured eukaryote. Its description in RNAcentral is "partial 18S ribosomal RNA". It matches the Rfam family "Eukaryotic small subunit ribosomal RNA", at positions 1470 to 1796 of the family's 1831-position model. The record is from RNAcentral.